GGACCCAGUUAUAUAGCACUCUGCAUUUUUAUAAUUGUUAUGCUCAAUGUUUCUAUGAUUACAUAGGGCUCUUCUGAAUUUGCAUCACAGGGCAAAUUUUGCUAAAAUGUUCAAAUUCCCCCCUCCUCAAACAGAGAUUAGAGUAGAUACAAUUUUACAACUUGUUGGGGCCAUAUUUGAGACCCCCCUUGGACAGUGUAGUCUGCCACUGGCACUCUCCGAUGCAUAGGUCUUUGUCCCUUAGGGCAUGGAUAUACUUGGGAGCAAAUAAGGCAAUCCUGUUUCCAAUGUAGAGCUGAAUUUGUUAUGUCAGAACAAUAAGAUUUCAGUCUAAGGUGAUCGUCUAAUGCACUCUGUCCAAUGUGACACAUAAAAGCAUGUGUUUGUUGUGUAAUUGGCCUCUGUAAAUGGUGUGGGG
Molecule: non-coding RNA, 418 nt
Organism: Pelobates cultripes (western spadefoot toad)
Lineage: Eukaryota; Metazoa; Chordata; Amphibia; Anura; Pelobatidae
Source: the annotation of a GenBank genome assembly